Long non-coding RNA from Gorilla gorilla gorilla (western lowland gorilla), 328 nucleotides. RefSeq lists it as uncharacterized. The record is from RefSeq and is a predicted model, not a curated record. The transcript has 2 exons. NCBI's taxonomy places the organism in Eukaryota, Metazoa, Chordata, Mammalia, Primates, Hominidae.
AGGUACUGGCUCAAGAUAUCUGUCUCAUUCAAGAGGGUCACACUGCAUUUCCCCCUGUAGGAGAGAGAUUGGAAAACCCCGUAAUGCUUUUAGAGAAGAACUGCUGAGAGUACGAAGAAUGCUCUAGAAAUACAUCGCUACCCAGCUGCCAGUACUCAGACACCAAAGUCCACAACGGGCCAGCAAGAACAUCACACUUGUCUCUUUCUUGCUAAACCAGCCUGAGGUCCAGAAACUCAAGAUGAAAAAAUAUCACACAAGACUGUGUUUACCAGUUAUUUUCAAUUUCAGGAGACUCUUUGCUCUAAAACAUCACAUGCAGCCCUAA